RNAcentral lists this ribosomal RNA (1554 nucleotides) under Escherichia coli. RNAcentral describes it as "bacterial SSU rRNA". It matches the Rfam family "Bacterial small subunit ribosomal RNA". The record is from RNAcentral. Lineage: Bacteria; Pseudomonadati; Pseudomonadota; Gammaproteobacteria; Enterobacterales; Enterobacteriaceae.
AAAUUGAAGAGUUUGAUCAUGGCUCAGAUUGAACGCUGGCGGCAGGCCUAACACAUGCAAGUCGAACGGUAACAGGAAUCAGCUUGCUGAUUCGCUGACGAGUGGCGGACGGGUGAGUAAUGUCUGGGAAACUGCCUGAUGGAGGGGGAUAACUACUGGAAACGGUAGCUAAUACCGCAUAACGUCGCAAGACCAAAGAGGGGGACCUUAGGGCCUCUUGCCAUCGGAUGUGCCCAGAUGGGAUUAGCUAGUAGGUGGGGUAACGGCUCACCUAGGCGACGAUCCCUAGCUGGUCUGAGAGGAUGACCAGCCACACUGGAACUGAGACACGGUCCAGACUCCUACGGGAGGCAGCAGUGGGGAAUAUUGCACAAUGGGCGCAAGCCUGAUGCAGCCAUGCCGCGUGUAUGAAGAAGGCCUUCGGGUUGUAAAGUACUUUCAGCGGGGAGGAAGGGAGUAAAGUUAAUACCUUUGCUCAUUGACGUUACCCGCAGAAGAAGCACCGGCUAACUCCGUGCCAGCAGCCGCGGUAAUACGGAGGGUGCAAGCGUUAAUCGGAAUUACUGGGCGUAAAGCGCACGCAGGCGGUUUGUUAAGUCAGAUGUGAAAUCCCCGGGCUCAACCUGGGAACUGCAUCUGAUACUGGCAAGCUUGAGUCUCGUAGAGGGGGGUAGAAUUCCAGGUGUAGCGGUGAAAUGCGUAGAGAUCUGGAGGAAUACCGGUGGCGAAGGCGGCCCCCUGGACGAAGACUGACGCUCAGGUGCGAAAGCGUGGGGAGCAAACAGGAUUAGAUACCCUGGUAGUCCACGCCGUAAACGAUGUCGACUUGGAGGUUGUGCCCUUGAGGCGUGGCUUCCGGAGCUAACGCGUUAAGUCGACCGCCUGGGGAGUACGGCCGCAAGGUUAAAACUCAAAUGAAUUGACGGGGGCCCGCACAAGCGGUGGAGCAUGUGGUUUAAUUCGAUGCAACGCGAAGAACCUUACCUGGUCUUGACAUCCACGGAAGUUUUCAGAGAUGAGAAUGUGCCUUCGGGAACCGUGAGACAGGUGCUGCAUGGCUGUCGUCAGCUCGUGUUGUGAAAUGUUGGGUUAAGUCCCGCAACGAGCGCAACCCUUAUCCUUUGUUGCCAGCGGUCCGGCCGGGAACUCAAAGGAGACUGCCAGUGAUAAACUGGAGGAAGGUGGGGAUGACGUCAAGUCAUCAUGGCCCUUACGACCAGGGCUACACACGUGCUACAAUGGCGCAUACAAAGAGAAGCGACCUCGCGAGAGCAAGCGGACCUCAUAAAGUGCGUCGUAGUCCGGAUUGGAGUCUGCAACUCGACUCCAUGAAGUCGGAAUCGCUAGUAAUCGUGGAUCAGAAUGCCACGGUGAAUACGUUCCCGGGCCUUGUACACACCGCCCGUCACACCAUGGGAGUGGGUUGCAAAAGAAGUAGGUAGCUUAACCUUCGGGAGGGCGCUUACCACUUUGUGAUUCAUGACUGGGGUGAAGUCGUAACAAGGUAACCGUAGGGGAACCUGCGGUUGGAUCACCUCCUUACCUUAAAGAAGC